UUGAUACUCCCUCCGUCCGGAAAAGUUUGUCCCUCAAAUGGAUAUAUCUAGCACUAACUUAGUGUUAGAUACAUUCAUUUGAAACACAAGUUUGGGACAAGCUUUUUUGGAAGGAGGCAGUAGCAC
Molecule: non-coding RNA, 126 nt
Organism: Triticum aestivum (bread wheat)
Lineage: Eukaryota; Viridiplantae; Streptophyta; Magnoliopsida; Poales; Poaceae
Source: Rfam